Molecule: ribosomal RNA, 1552 nt
Filed under: Aphelenchoides fujianensis
Lineage: Eukaryota; Metazoa; Nematoda; Chromadorea; Rhabditida; Aphelenchoididae
Description: SSU rRNA
Rfam family: Eukaryotic small subunit ribosomal RNA
Source: RNAcentral
GUAAGUAGAGCGUACAUAAAGCGAAACUGCGAACGGCUCAUUACAACAGAUAUAAUCUACUUGUUCUUUUCAAUCUAAACGGAUAACUGCGGUAAUUCUGGAGCCAAUACGUGACUAAAAGCAGUGGCCUUCGGGUCGCUGUGCUACUAUUGGAGCAAAACUAUUCGUUAGUCCUUUUGCUAACUCUGGAUAAUACUGCGUAUCGCAUGACCUCGUGUCGGCGAAGUUUCAUUCGAGUAUCUGCCCUAUCAACUUGCUGGCAGUGUAUUGGACUGCCAUGGUUCUAACGGGUAACGGAGGAUCAGGGUCUGACUCCGGAGAGGGAGCCUUAGAAACGGCUACCAUGUCUAAGGAUAGCAGCAGGCGCGAAAAUUACCCAAUAUCAAUACGAUGAGGUAGUGACGAGAAAUAACGAGUCCGCUCUCUCUGAGGUCGGACAUUGGAAUGGGUACAAUCUAGACAAUUUAACGAGUAUCUACGAGAGGGCAGGUCUGGUGCCAGCAGCCGCGGUAAUUCCAGCUCUCGUAAUACAUAGAAUUAUUGUUGCGGUUAAAAAGUUCGUAGUUGAUUAGCGAACCGUUCGGGGUGCACCCUAACGGGUGUCACUCGUCGGACGGUAUUUUGUGCGUUUGUGUGCGGCGGCUUUCGGGUCGCUCGUAUGCUGCGUGCAGGAUUACUUUGAACGGCUUAAGUGCUCAAGGCGGGUCUUACGACCGAAUACCGGUGCGUGGAAUAAUGGAACAAGGUUGCGGCCGAGUUUUAUUGGUUUUGUCGGCUGAAACAAUGGUUAACAGGAACAGCCGGGGGCAUUCGUAUCGCUGCGCGAGAGGUGAAAUUCGGGGACCGUAGCGAGACGCACUAAAGCGAAGGCAUUUGCCAAGAGUGUUUUCAUUAAUCAAGAACGAAAGUUAGAGGUUCGAAGGCGAUUAGAUACCGCCCUAGUUCUAACCGUAAAUGAUGCCAACUGCCAAUCCGCUGGUGGAUUUAAUUCACGAGCGGGCGGGUUUCCGGAAACGAAAGUCUUUCGGUUCCGGGGGAAGUAUGGUUGCAAAGCUGAAACUAAAGAAUGACGGAAACCCCAGGAGUGGAGCUUGCGGCUUAAUUUGACUCAACACGGGAAACCUCACCCGGCCAGCACAUCGUAAGGAUUGACAGACCGAUAGCUCUUUCAUGAUUCGUUGGAUGGUGGUGCAUGGCCGUUCUUAGUUCGUGCUAAUUGAAGUGUCUGCUUUAUUGCGAUAACGAGCGGGACGCCAACUGUUAACUAGUGCGUUGAUUGGUUCGCUUGUCAACGAUCGGCUUCUUAACGGGAUUUGUGGUUACUAGCCUCAAGAAAUGGCGCAAUAACAGGUCUGUGAUGCCCUUAGAUGUUCGGGGCCGCACGCGUGCUACAAUGGUGGUAUCAGCGUGCUUGUCCUACUCCGAAAGGAGAUGGCAAACAGUUGAGAUAUUAUUAUGGCUGGAAUUGAGUGUUGAAAUUUUCACUCAUGAACGAGGAAUUCCAAGUAAAUGCGAGUCAUCAACUCGCAUUGAUUACGUCCCUGCCCUUUGU